Molecule: non-coding RNA, 171 nt
Filed under: Candidatus Gallimonas intestinalis
Lineage: Bacteria; Bacillati; Bacillota; Clostridia
Also listed under: 1 other name
Description: Lysine riboswitch
Rfam family: Lysine riboswitch aptamer
About the family: Riboswitches are metabolite binding domains within certain messenger RNAs that serve as precision sensors for their corresponding targets. Allosteric rearrangement of mRNA structure is mediated by ligand binding, and this results in modulation of gene expression.
Source: RNAcentral
AAAAGAGGAGCGGACGAACAUGAGUACCGCGCGCAAAGGAAAUGGAAGGUUUUCCGCAUGAUGCGCGCGCAAAAGGGUAUCUCCGCCGAAGCGCAUCCGAGUCCUUCACCCAUGCGCUGGGUCUGCGGGAGAAUACCUGCAUUCCUGUCACCCCGCGGUGAAGCGCUUUUU